UGGGGAAUUUUCCGCAAUGGGCGAAAGCCUGACGGAGCAAUACCGCGUGAGGGAGGACGGCUUUUGGGUUGUAAACCUCUUUUAUCAGGGAAGAAUCGAUGACGGUACCUGAUGAAUCAGCAUCGGCUAACUCCGUGCCAGCAGCCGCGGUAAUACGGAGGAUGCAAGCGUUAUCCGGAAUUAUUGGGCGUAAAGCGUCCGUAGGUGGUUUAUCAAGUCUGCUGUCAAAGCGUGCGGCUUAACCGCAUAAGGGCAGUGGAAACUGAUGAACUAGAGUGCGAUAGGGGUAACAGGAAUUCCCAGUGUAGCGGUGAAAUGCGUAGAUAUUGGGAAGAACACCAGCGGCGAAAGCGUGUUACUGGGUCUGCACUGACACUGAGGGACGAAAGCU
This 391-nucleotide ribosomal RNA is filed under the name Leptolyngbya sp. N2c. RNAcentral's name for it is "bacterial SSU rRNA". It matches the Rfam family "Bacterial small subunit ribosomal RNA", at positions 355 to 761 of the family's 1533-position model. Lineage: Bacteria; Bacillati; Cyanobacteriota; Cyanophyceae; Leptolyngbyales; Leptolyngbyaceae. The record is from RNAcentral.